UACGUAGGGUGCGAGCGUUAAUCGGAAUUACUGGGCGUAAAGCGUGCGCAGGCGGUUCGCUAAGACCGAUGUGAAAUCCCCGGGCUUAACCUGGGAACUGCAUUGGUGACUGGCGGGCUAGAGUAUGGCAGAGGGGGGUAGAAUUCCACGUGUAGCAGUGAAAUGCGUAGGGAUGUGGAGGAAUACCGAUGGCGAAGGCAGCCCCCUGGGCCAAUACUGACGCUCAUGCACGAAAGCGUGGGGAGCAAACAGG
RNAcentral lists this ribosomal RNA (253 nucleotides) under uncultured bacterium. RNAcentral's name for it is "partial 16S ribosomal RNA". It matches the Rfam family "Bacterial small subunit ribosomal RNA", at positions 524 to 776 of the family's 1533-position model. The record is from RNAcentral.